UCAAAAUAAAAAAGCAAUUUGCUGUCUUGUCAGUAGAGAAAAAAGGAGCUGAAAAUAGUAACAAAUACAUAUUUACAGAGAAACUAGGUAUACAACGUGUGAAGGCACUACUGUGUGGGUCUCAUUCUCCGAUAGUUGGACGAUUGAAAAGGGUUGGGGGACCAAUAUAUGGGUAUAGCCCACGGUUUCUUGCUACGUUCAUUGUUUUACGCUCUGGCUCAGCGACAAGAUUAAGAAAAGACAUGCAGAAAAGGAAAAAAAGACCCAACUUUUUUUGGUUGACAACAAGGAAAAAAACAAUCAGCAGCGUUCAAAUGGCGACGAGCUCAGUGGAGGGCAUGAAGAAUGUAUGGAAAUGGGAAAGCAGACAAUCCACCUCUGUGGUUGAUGGGCACUUUAUGGUUGAUGCGUACUUAUGAGCUAACCCUUGACAAUGCCGUUAUUAAUACAAGUUUUGAAAUGGAUGGGGAUUCUAUCCGAAUUCUUUUUAUGAGGAUUACGAUAAUUAUUUUAUUACGUCUGUUCAUUGUA
This is a non-coding RNA of Malus domestica (apple), 531 nucleotides long. NCBI's taxonomy places the organism in Eukaryota, Viridiplantae, Streptophyta, Magnoliopsida, Rosales, Rosaceae. The record is from RefSeq and is a predicted model, not a curated record.